Molecule: non-coding RNA, 48 nt
Filed under: unclassified sequences
Description: gut-2 RNA
Rfam family: gut-2 RNA
About the family: gut metagenomes.
Source: Rfam by way of RNAcentral
AACCGCUGUACGCUUGGGUACGGCGAAGGGCCGCUUGGGGCCGACGGG